RNAcentral lists this ribosomal RNA (741 nucleotides) under Rothia mucilaginosa. Its description in RNAcentral is "bacterial SSU rRNA". It matches the Rfam family "Bacterial small subunit ribosomal RNA", at positions 28 to 776 of the family's 1533-position model. Lineage: Bacteria; Bacillati; Actinomycetota; Actinomycetes; Micrococcales; Micrococcaceae. The record is from RNAcentral.
GACGAACGCUGGCGGCGUGCUUAACACAUGCAAGUCGAACGAUGAAGCCUAGCUUGCUAGGUGGAUUAGUGGCGAACGGGUGAGUAAUACGUGAGUAACCUACCUUUAACUCUGGGAUAAGCCUGGGAAACUGGGUCUAAUACCGGAUACGACCAAUCUCCGCAUGGGGUGUUGGUGGAAAGCGUUAUGUAGUGGUUAUAGAUGGGCUCACGGCCUAUCAGCUUGUUGGUAAGGUAACGGCUCACCAAGGCGACGACGGGUAGCCGGCCUGAGAGGGUGACCGGCCACACUGGGACUGAGACACGGCCCAGACUCCUACGGGAGGCAGCAGUGGGGAAUAUUGCACAAUGGGCGCAAGCCUGAUGCAGCGACGCCGCGUGAGGGAUGACGGCCUUCGGGUUGUAAACCUCUGUUAGCAGGGAAGAAGAGAAAUUGACGGUACCUGCAGAGAAAGCGCCGGCUAACUACGUGCCAGCAGCCGCGGUAAUACGUAGGGCGCGAGCGUUGUCCGGAAUUAUUGGGCGUAAAGAGCUUGUAGGCGGUUUGUCGCGUCUGCUGUGAAAGGCCGGGGCUUAACCCCGUGUAUUGCAGUGGGUACGGGCAGACUAGAGUGCAGUAGGGGAGACUGGAAUUCCUGGUGUAGCGGUGGAAUGCGCAGAUAUCAGGAGGAACACCGAUGGCGAAGGCAGGUCUCUGGGCUGUAACUGACGCUGAGAAGCGAAAGCAUGGGGAGCGAACAGG